UACGUAGGGGGCAAGCGUUAUCCGGAUUUACUGGGUGUAAAGGGAGCGUAGACGGCAGAGCAAGUCCGGGGUGUAAGCCCGGGGCCCAACCCCGGGACUGCUCUGGAAACUGUUAAGCUGGAGUGCGGGAGGGGCAGGCGGAAUUCCUGGUGUAGCGGUGAAAUGCGUAGAUAUCAGGAGGAACACCGGCGGCGAAGGCGGCCUGCUGGACCGUGACUGACGUUGAGGCUCGAAAGCGUGGGGAGCAAACAGG
This 253-nucleotide ribosomal RNA is filed under the name uncultured bacterium. RNAcentral's name for it is "partial 16S ribosomal RNA". It matches the Rfam family "Bacterial small subunit ribosomal RNA", at positions 524 to 776 of the family's 1533-position model. The record is from RNAcentral.